GAGUCAAAUGCUUCUAACCAGCAACACGAGUUGUGAAGAGGAGUGAAUUAAAAGUAGCGAAGGUGUGGUAAUCACACUGCCAAGAAAAGCUUCUAGCCAGAGAUGACAUACCCGUACCGCAAACCGACACAGGUAGUCGAGUGGAGAACACUAAGGUGAGCGAGAGAACUCUCGUUAAGGAACUCGGCAAAAUGACCCCGUAACUUCGGAAGAAGGGGUGCUAGCCAAGAGAUUGGUUAGCCGCAGUGAAUAGGCCCAAACAACUGUUUAUCAAAAACACAGGUCUCUGCAAAAUCGUAAGAUGACGUAUAGAGGCUGACACCUGCCCGGUGCUGGAAGGUUAAGGGGAAGGCUUAGCAUA
RNAcentral lists this ribosomal RNA (361 nucleotides) under Diacronema lutheri. Its description in RNAcentral is "partial Bacterial large subunit ribosomal RNA". It matches the Rfam family "Bacterial large subunit ribosomal RNA", at positions 1533 to 1897 of the family's 2925-position model. Lineage: Eukaryota; Haptophyta; Pavlovophyceae; Pavlovales; Pavlovaceae. The record is from RNAcentral.